Molecule: long non-coding RNA, 16982 nt
Filed under: Nicotiana tabacum (common tobacco)
Lineage: Eukaryota; Viridiplantae; Streptophyta; Magnoliopsida; Solanales; Solanaceae
Description: long non-coding RNA (NTAB_LNC006732)
Source: RNAcentral
UGGACAAAACUAUGGGUCAUGACUAUUGAAGCACUAACUAAAAAUGCACGUUACUGUUUUAUCUUUCAAAAGACAAACUAACUUCCCCAAUUAUUGAAUACCCCCUAAGGCUAGUCCCAACAGUUAGAGCAAAGAACACUUGGGACUGAUUUGGCCAUUGUAAAGCCAUAAUCCCAAAAAUGGCUGCAUUGAGCUUAACAUUACAAACAGAACACAAAACACGCAUGAAAGGGCCAGAUAAAACAACACUUGACUGAAUUUCACAACCUGUAGCUACCAAUUAUUACUCCCCUAAAAUUUUUUGCUCAAUGGCCUAUAUGCUUGACUAAUCACAAUCGACUUGAGAUUAACACUUGAUUUGUUAAACAAAUCAUGUGAUAUGGAAACAAUAACACUAAGCUAAAGAGCCAAGACAUGUUGAGGCCAUUUCAUUCAUUCUGAAAAUCAAAACUUCACACAUGGCUUUAGAUUCAGAAAAUGUGUACCUGGAAAGCAAAAUAAGAGAAAAAGAUGGGGAUCAGCAGCAGAAUAGUAUCAGUAGAUAAACAGCAACACCAGCUCGAACCCCAGGAAUGAUGUAUACCAAACUUCAAGUAAAUUGUUGAACAGCCAACAAACCCGCUAAAAACUUUAAACCAAAAGCUUUUGAUAACUGAAUUCAAUCCAUUUUUAUUCAAUAGCUUGAAGGAAUUUCAGAGGUUGAGAGGAAACCAAAAUUGCUAAAAAGCAAACCAAUAAAACAGUAAAGAAGAACUCUCAACCGUUGGUAUUUUCAGUUCUUUUUCUCUCUUCAUCCCCCUCCUCUACAGAAUGAAAAAUGAACUUAUAUAGACCUGCCUAGGGCAACUCUAAGGCAACCAACCAAUUCCUCAUUUACCCUCCUUGCCUUGAGUGUUUUUUUUACCCUUUUAACCCUCUUUCAAAAAUAUCUCCCAUCCCAGCUCUUAUGUCAUUCUGUAGAAGCUUCUAUUCUAACAGAGUUUUAUUCCCUCACAUCCCAAAAUUCCUAAAUUGACCUCUAACCAACUAACUAUUACAGUCUCUGCCCUUUCCUUUGAGACCCCUUUAAGUUUCAAACCUGACAAUUAACCCCUCUACUGAUUCAAGAAGAGUGACAAACAGGACUAAACGAACACAAAAGGCAUUGCACAUAUCAAAAUGAAAUUCUCGGAAGACCUCAAAAAAGAACUUGAACAAUUUCAAAGUUGUAAAGAAGAAACAAAUUUUGCCUUGAAUCAAACAUGAUCAUGAACUUCACAAGAACACUAAGCCAAUUAAACAUUGUCCAUAUUCAACUAGAAAAGGAAAUCAGCAAACUUAUUUAACUAACACAUGACUUAACGAUUUUAGACCUAAAUUAACUAAAACGACUAAUGAUCUAUUAAUCAAUUAUGAACUUAAACAGGGAAGAAGAAUAGAAAAAGGAACACGAACAAAAGUACAAAAAUACCUGAGGGUAGAAUCAAAAACAAAACUCACUAAAGAAGCCAACGACCAAGAUUACUUCGAAUUAAACGGAAACUGAGGAUAAUCAAUUGCUUUUUGACAAGAACAUCCCAUUAGCCUUUGUUCCCGGCUAAUUCGAAACUUGAAACUUCCCAGGAAGCUAAGCGUGGAUUCAUGACUUGGGGGACGACAUCAAGGUUUUCCUUAGAGUUUAGCCGUUAAAUCGACAUGAGGGAAGGCUAAUGGUGCAGGGACUUGAGUUUUUGAGCGAUUUGGGACAGAUUAAGUUUUUUUUUGGUUUGGUUUUCGAUUGAAGAUUCAAGAUGCACCAGUGGGAUUCGAAGGAACUAGGUUAGGGAUUCUGGAAGAGGACGGGAAGAGGGUCUUGGGGUGUUAAUUUGGGGCCAAUUGGAUGAGUUAGGGUUUUGGUCGUUCUCUUUUAUUCAAGAUUCGAGAGGUUGGGCUGGGAUUCGAGGGAGGGGGUUUGGAGAUUUGGAAAGAGGAGAAGGAGAGGAAUCUAUGGUGUAAAAAUGGGGCCGAUUGGAGCAACGCCGCCAGCGGAGGCGAUUUCCGGUAGGCGACUCACGGCGGAUACGGUGAGGGGUUCUCUGAGGGUGUGUGGAGACGAUGAGAGGGGGUAGGGGGUGCGUUCAGACAGUUUUAUACUUGAAUACCCCAGCUUCCCCAUCGUUGGAUAUGGAAAACCUCGACGACCAGGAUUCGUUUUAAAAGAAACGGCGUCGUUUGGUCGUCCAAGGAGACUAGGUCGGGUAAGGAACGGUUUUUGGGCUGGGAAUCCGAUCUCAAAAAGGGGGAAGGUUUGGGAUGGGGUAUUUUAAAUAACAUUUGGCCCAAACUGACUUCUUAUUCCUUUGUUUUCUUUUCUUUUUACUUCUUUUUUUCUAAUUUCUUUCAAAUUAAAAAUAAAAAUAAUCCUAAAUUAAUUCCUAAUCAAAUUAUGCUAUCCAAUUACAUUAAAUAACUCUAAAUAACAAUUACCACAAAUAAUUAAAACCAAAUUAAGGAAAAACUAUCAAAAUUCAAAAUUAAAAUUAAAAAGUGCAAAAUAAAUUAUUUUUUUGUGAUUUUUCCAUUUUUAUAAAACAACUAAUUUGUUAAUUAAUCCUAAAAUGAAAAGUUAAAUCCUAAAUGCAAAUGCAACAUAUUUUUGUAUUUUUUUUCAUAAUUUAAACAAAGUAAACAUGCGUAGACAAAUGCAAAAAAUGCUACAAAAAUCUACGAAACUGCAAAUAAUGGGAAAAUUAUUCUGUUUUGAAUUUGUGGGAAUAAUUCAUAUAGGGCAAAAAUCACGUGCUCACACUCCUUUCCUGCGUUAAGUCCUCUAUCAUUUUAGUUUUGACGCUCUUGCUCAAAUUCCCGCUCCAAUUCUCUAGUUUUACCACAGUCAUGACUGCUACAUCUGGGUCCACUCGGUAAGGAAAAGGGAGUUCUGCCUCUAGUUCCUGCCUAGUUGGCGAUGUGCUAUCGGUGCCAGGCGAGUCAUCCUCUGGGAAUUGUUUUUCGAGGAGGGAUCUUCUGUUAGAAAAGUCUCCCAUUGUUCAAGGUCAUUGGGAAUCUACCUCAAAGUUUAUUUCUUUAAUAGGAGAAGAGAACCUUGAGUCAGCGAGGAUGGAUUGUGGAUGGGGGGAAAAGGUAGUAUUGCAGGUACCUUCCCCGGAAGAGAGCAUCGUGGACCAUGCCGAGGGGUUUUUGAACGUGUAUACGUACCCUUUCACGCUGGCCCCCUUGAUAGGGUUUUGCUCAACUUCUGUCAAAAAUAACAGGUUACCUUGGCGCAGAUUCACCUUUCAUUUUGGCAGAUAGUAUUGAUGAUGAGGCUCUUUGCAGAGAAAGUAGGGCUUGAAUUCACUCUUAGUCAUCUUAUCAGGUUAUACCGGCCUUUUCACCAUCGAGGAUUGCUAACCCUAUGAUGCCGAUCCACCACGGCUUUCGUUAUUGAUGAUAAAGAAAACGGAGAUCGGGGGUGGAUGAGCCGAUUCAUCUGAGUACGGACUAUCGAUAUUAUCCCCGUGGAGUUUCUGCCAUUUCCUUAGGAAUGGAAUUUUACACGUAAGCGGUACACUCGUGCCUUUGUAGUUUUUUUAUUAUGGCGAAGUUGGGGUCCGUAAAUGUGCCUUCCUUUCCCUUUUUGUAGCAAUUUCAUGGAUGCCAUGCGAGGUCCCUAGCUUGCCGGAUUGAGCUCGGAAGUUGGCGACCUACUCGACUUAUAAUGAGCAUAAGUGGAGAUCUUUGUCUAGGGGUAGAUGGGAGGACAAACACCAUGAUACGUGCUAUAUGAUUUGUUCCCCCUUCCCCUCCCCCUUUUUUUUGAAGGGCACUCUCUCUUUCUGCGUUAACUUUGUCAUCGUAGGCAUUGGGGAGUUCUUUGAAGCGAGAUCAUGCCCUCUAGGAGAGGGAGGAGGAUCACUGGCUUUAGGACCGAAGGAUAAUAAUAAUAACAAUAAGCAAAAAAGGUAUUUGCAGAACGACAGUGAUCAUAGCAAGACGAGUCUGGUCCGGAGGCUCAAAGAGGGCAUAUCAGCCGAACCUGCAGCACCCGAGUUCUCUGGCUUUAGGAAAACUGUCCCUCCUUCGCUGCCAUCUCCAUUAACUGUCGAAGGUACUUCGAGGAAUGAGGGAUCCCUGCCGCUGACUUCUUCUCCCAUCAAAGGUACUUCAAGGGACGUUCGAAGCUAUGGGCCACAUAUGUCGGAUGACCGUAUACCAAUCGGGAGUGGUUCUAUUGGGGUUGACAAAGCUGGGCUAGCAAAUGAGCGUUCGACUAUCGAGGGAGCUCAGCGGUUCUACUCCGCGGUGAGAUUUAGCUGAUCGCAUUGGGUUUAUAGUUUUUGCAAUUUUCGCCUCUCUUAUCACAUUUCUCUUACACAGGCUUUUAACAAGCUCAAAUCUGAGCUGCUUCACCGUGAGGUCAGGCUGCUAAAAUCCGUAGAUAGGGAGAAAACGCUCAGGCUUCUUUGCAAUGAAAAGGAAGACGAGUUGGCACACUUGCGGUAUGAGGAGGGUCGUAGUUUAAAUUACGAAAGCUACCUCGAGAGUAGGUAACUUCUAUUUCAAGAGAGUGCACGUUUCUUCUUCUAUUUUCUGAGGCUAACGUUUCGUUUACUUCAGUUGCAGAAAAAGACAAAAGACCUGGAAUGCCUUAGGAACGAAGUUGGUCGAGCCAAGCGCAAGCGUGAUGAGCUAAGGGCUCGGGUGGACACCCAGAUAUCGGCUAAGAAAGAUGUUUUGGCCAAGGCUUCUGCCCUCAAAGUGCAACUUCACAACGCUCACGAGAACAUCUUGGUUCAAAUAGACAUGAUUUCAAGACUCGAGUCUGAGCUUCUGAAGAUGAAGGACGAAGUUGUGGAUGCCCGGGCUGAAGCCAAAAUAAUCCAAGCAAAGGCUGAUAAGAAGGUGGCUACCUAUUUGAAGGAUGCUUCUGAUGCUCGUGCUGAGCUAAGGGGGGAUCUCGACCAGGAGAUUAGGAAUAAAGAGUAUGCGAGGUGCAAAUCUCGGAGGGAAACCCUCGAGGAAAUUCAUGCUAUGAGCUUCGAUCUCUCGGAAGAGAUAAAGCAGGCAAAGGCGGAAGAUUAUGAUGCUAAGUUCCUUUUGUCUAAUGCCGAAGAUGACGAGAAAGAAGCCGACGGACCAUAGUCCCCAAGGGGGACGUAGAUUAGAUCAGGCCUUUCCUUUCUUGCUUUGUGUAGAGUGCUUUCAAAGAACUUUGUAAAUGAAACAUGUAUUCCCUCGGAUAUAUGUAUAAAAAGGAAGCCUUGCGAUUUUAUUUUUGAUGCAUUUCCCUUUGCCUUGAUUUUAUCUAGAUGAAUUGAUCUUCGAGUUAAAAAGGAAUCCCUAGAUUCAUGGUAUGUCCCUGGGCUUAUUGGGCCAGCUCGUACGCUCUUGCGCGCUUGGUCAGUACGACCUUUUAGUAUAAGUCGGUGUUUGAGAUUUUAUGCUUUUGCUCUUAGGCAUAUUUAAUUAACUAUUUCGGGUUCAGUUUUUGAGUCGGGUUUCGACUCGAGCUCAUUUGACCCUUAUAUUUUUGAAUUAAAGCUGGCCCUUACGCUCUUAUGCGUUGGGUCGGUACGACCUCUUGCAUGGGCUGAUAACAGUGGCUCUUACGCAUGGGGUCGGUACGACCUCUUAUAUGGGCUGGUGACAGUGGCUCUUACGCAUGGGUUGGUACGACCUCUUAUAUGGGCUGGCGAUAGUGGCUCUUACGCAUAGGUCAGUACGACCUCUUAUAUGGGCUGGCAACAGUGGCUUUUACGCAUGGGUUGGUAGGACCUCUUAUAUAGCCUGGCAAUAGUGGCUCUUACGCAUGGGUCGGUAUGACCUCUUAUAUGGGCUUAAUUUUUCCCUCGUUAAGGACUUUUUGAAAUUGUGUUUGCCUUAUUCUUCGACAGUUCGAUAGAAACCUCAAUUGUGAGUCGUUAUAUGGCGAUGAUCGAGCAUCCCGGGAGGUUUGGCUCGGUGGCCGAGUAUCUCGAAGCCUAUAGUUUGGAGCAGACAUGAUCGAAGCUCUUUUUCCUAUAUCGAGGGUAGCCCAUUUAACCGGUUCUUUUCGAAGUAUUUUUAAAGUAAUUAAAGGCCUAUGAUUUUAUAGCGAUGGUCGGGCAUCCCUAAGUCACAUUAGUUUGGCUGGUACAGCCUUGUGACUGUAGUCAUUUGUGUUUGGCCAGAUCCUUUCAGUCCCUGAGUGAAGUAGUUUUGGUGUCUAUGUCGAGGGUAUGCCUUUUUAGGGGUCUUACAAGUUCGAUAUAUAGCCUUAGCUUUGAGAUCGGGAUUAUGUCUUUCGUAAGGUCUUAUAAGUUUUAAAUGCAUUUGAGGUCUUACAGUUUUGGUUUCUUGGUACAAGUAUGGUUCAUGCCUUACUUUAGGUCUUACAGAUAUUGAUAUUAUCUUAUAUAGGUCUUACGAGACUGAGGUUGCCCGCAUGUGGUAUUAUGGCCUCGAGUUUUGAUAAGUCGAUGGGGGUGGCGAUUGGCGGCAAUCCCCGAGUCAUCGAGGGUCUCUUGGCUCAGUAACCAUUACUUGUAAGCUUGGUAUUGCCUCAUUGAGGGCUUACGAUUUCGGGGUUUCUGGCCCGGAGGUCAUGCGGCCUUGAGUUUUCGACGCCAGUCCCCGAGUGUUCGGGACGUUUUUGGCUCUAGAGCUAUUUUGUGAUCUUGAUGUUUCCUCAUUGAGGGCUUACGAGUUUGAAGCUCCAACCCGGGGUUCGCAUUGUUUUGAGUUGUUGACGUCAGUCCCCGAGUGUUUGGGACAUUUUUGAUAAAGGAGCCAUUUUUUGCAAAAAUACCGAGCUUCUUUGAAGCGUGAAAUGCUUUGGAAAGUAUUAUUUGAUUACUUGGUACAAGUAUAUAUGUUUUUGCUACUAAGGGCUCGGUUAUUCUAUACGGACAUGGUUCGUUCGACCGUUUGGCCUAGUACAUUAUUUUCCUGUCGGGACCCCAUUUAGCGCAUCUUGGCUUCUUUGAGUAGGUGACCUUUUGUGGGAUGCCCCCCAGUAUUCGAGGUUGAUUGCAAAAGAAGCCUUGAAUACUUGAUGAGUCUUCCUUAGGUAACAUAUAGAUGUUGCCUCAUUAAAAACCUUGUCGGUAAAACCCUUCUUGGGACAAAAAUCUGGUCGAAGGAAAAGACUGCAACGCACGCUUUUGGAACCUAAGGCUUUCGAGUUGGAAAGCGCUUUGGCCGUUUCAAUCAGAUAUAUGCAUUCAGGUUAGUAUAAAAUGUAACUGAAAAAGGGAGAUGGCCAUACCUUAGUGCUGACGGAGCUUCGGAUCUCGAUGUGAUUCAAUCGUUUAUUAUGGUACGACCCUUCAUUUUGUUCAGUCGGGCGUAGCCGAGAAUGUAGCUUGUUGUCGAUAUUUUAUUGUUUGCUUACCCUUUGGCUCCUUUGAAUGUGUAGGUACUGGUGUUGGCAUCACAUCGUGAACCGCGAACAUUUCUCUUGUCGCAUGUUAUUCUCCGUAGACAGUUUUUAUCCCAUCCUUUGUUAGGAAUUUCAUUAUUUGAUGGAGGGUGGAGGGUACUGCUCUCAUCAGUGUAUCCAUGGCCUUUCGAGCAAGACAUUGUAUCUCAUGUCUCCUUCGAUGUUAUAGAAUUUUGCAUUUUGGGUUGUGCCGGCCACAUUGAUUGGGAGGGUGAUUUUCCCUUUUGUUGUUUUGCUCGCCAUGUUGAAUCCGUUGAGGACUCGAGAGGCGGGCACGAUUUGGUCAAGUAGUCGAAGUUGCUCUACCAACCUCGACCUGAUAAUGUUGGCCAAGCUACCCGGAUCCACAAGUACACGUUUAAUUUGAAAUGUAUUUACAAGGAAAGAGAUUACCAGUGCGUUGUUGUGAGGCUGAGACAAGGUGAUAUCCUCAUCGAUGAAUGUGAGAGUAUUCUCAGGUAUGUAACCCCGAGUUCGCUUUUCCCUGGUGAUGUAUAUUUUUAUUCUUUUGAUCAUGGGUUCUUGUGGGGCAUCGAUGCUUCCCAAGAUCAUGUGGAUGACAUGUUGUGGCUCAUUUGUUUCGUUCUUCUCGGCCNNNNNNNNNNNNNNNNNNNNNNNNNNNNNNNNNNNNNNNNNNNNNNNNNNNNNNNNNNNNNNNNNNNNNNNNNNNNNNNNNNNNNNNNNNNNNNNNNNNNNNNNNNNNNNNNNNNNNNNNNNNNNNNNNNNNNNNNNNNNNNNNNNNNNNNNNNNNNNNNNNNNNNNNNNNNNNNNNNNNNNNNNNNNNNNNNNNNNNNNNNNNNNNNNNNNNNNNNNNNNNNNNNNNNNNNNNNNNNNNNNNNNNNNNNNNNNNNNNNNNNNNNNNNNNNNNNNNNNNNNNNNNNNNNNNNNNNNNNNNNNNNNNNNNNNNNNNNNNNNNNNNNNNNNNNNNNNNNNNNNNNNNNNNNNNNNNNNNNNNNNNNNNNNNNNNNNNNNNNNNNNNNNNNNNNNNNNNNNNNNNNNNNNNNNNNNNNNNNNNNNNNNNNNNNNNNNNNNNNNNNNNNNNNNNNNNNNNNNNNNNNNNNNNNNNNNNNNNNNNNNNNNNNNNNNNNNNNNNNNNNNNNNNNNNNNNNNNNNNNNNNNNNNNNNNNNNNNNNNNNNNNNNNNNNNNNNNNNNNNNNNNNNNNNNNNNNNNNNNNNNNNNNNNNNNNNNNNNNNNNNNNNNNNNNNNNNNNNNNNNNNNNNNNNNNNNNNNNNNNNNNNNNNNNNNNNNNNNNNNNNNNNNNNNNNNNNNNNNNNNNNNNNNNNNNNNNNNNNNNNNNNNNNNNNNNNNNNNNNNNNNNNNNNNNNCCAAGAUCAUGUGGAUGACAUGUUGUGGCUCAUUUGUUUCGUUCUUCUCGGCCGCCUCUCUUUCCCGGAACUGAUUUUUGGCCCUGUCGCUGAGGAAUUUUCGGAGGUGACCUUUGCUGAGUAGUCGGGCUACUUCUUCCCAGAGCUGGUGGCAAUCCUCGGUCCUGUAUCCGUGCGUGUUGUGAAAUUCACACGCUAAGUUAUGGUUCCUUUGUGAAGGAUCUGAUUGUAGAGGCCUUGGCCACCUAGUGUCACUGCUUUUACUUAUGGCGAACACGAUAUCUGAAAUAUCGAUGUUGAAGUUGUAUUUCGACAAGCGGGGUGCCUCCGUCGGCCCUACAUGUCUAUCGAACCUGGCUCUGCUGACGAGUCCCCGAGGGUUCUUCCAUCAUUCCGUUCUUCGAUCAUUAUGGGGCAUGUUACGCCUCGGGGAAUUUCUCCUAUCUUCGGUGUAUGGCUGUUACCUUUCUUUGUUUGGAUUUGGCUCCUUUGCUAGAAGCCUGCUUGGGUAUACCGAGCCCGAGGGGGCUCCUAAUUGCUCGUCCUCAACCCUAAUUUUCGUUUGAUAUCGGUUGUGAACAUCCGACCAAGUCACGACGGGGUAUUCAACCAAAUUCUGCUUUAGCUGUUUCGAAGCCACCGAGCUUUGUUCGUUCAAACCUUGAGUGAAGGCUUGCACUGCCCAGUCAUCAGAAACUUGUGGUAAUUCCAUUCGUUCCAUUUGAAAGCGAGAUACGAACUCUCGCAGUAUCUCAUUCUCCCUCUGCUUGAUCUUGAAGACGUCAGAUUUCCUUGUAGCUACUUUGAUGGCACCAGCGUGCGCCUUUAUGAAAGAAUCUGUCGGCAUGGAAAAUGAAUCUAUUGAGUUUGGGUACAGGUUGUGGUACCACGUCAUUGCCCCUUUAGAAAGCAUUUCUCCGAACUUCUUCAGUAGGACGGACUCGAUCUCGUCGUCCUUUAGGUCGUUGCCCUUCACUGCGCAAGUGUAAGCAGUAAAGUGUUCAUUGAGGUCUGAGGUUCCAUUGUACAUCGAAAGGUCUGGCAUUCUGAACUUCUUUGGAAUGGGUUUUGGAGCGGCUUCAUGUGGGAACGGCUUCUGUACGAACUUUUUUGAAUCCACACCUUUUAAGAUCGGGGGUGCGCCCGAAAUUUGGUCGACCCUGGAAUUGUAGGUCUCAACCUUCUUAUAGUUGGCUUCUAUCUUUUUCUCGCCCGACUCGAUCCUCUUUGUAAGGUCCUCAAGUAUCUUUACGAUGGUGGGGUCGGCUGCUGACACGUUGUUACUUGAUCUUUCUGGUGCCUGUUCGGUCCAAUGGGCUGUUCCCAUGGCCGCUGUACUUGGGUUUUUUUUGUAGCUCUAUAGCUGAGCGAUUGCCAGUUUUUGUACCUGCAACAUCUCAAAAUUAACUUGAAGUAUGGCCUUCUAUUCCUCCUGAGCUGGGGUUUUUUGGACUUCCUGUUGAUCUCCUUGAUAUAUGCUCAUGUUAGUGUGGGAGCUUAUAUCGACGUGUUGGGCAUCGCGUGAGACCGCAUCCACAGGAAUUGGUUCUGGUGCAUUCAGAGGGUUUCGUGGUGGUACACCAACACCUGGAACAUCCACACCAUUCUCUUCAUGGUCCUCAAGAUUGUUGUUUACUAAGUUAGACAUUUUUACCUGAAAUCAAUGAUCUUGGACAAGAAAAAGUGUGAAAGGUAACCUGCGUUAUGUAGUUAAACCAGCAAGAAAAUAAUCACUAUUAUUUUUAGCCCCAAGGUGGGCGCCAAACUAUUUACCGUGAAAAUGGUAAUGACAAUUAAAUUUGAUUUUGUGGUUCUAAAAAUACGUGAUCUAUUUUUAUGCUAGUUUUUAGGCAAUGGAUGCUAAAGUAAGGGAUUAGAAAGCAAGAUUAUAGCUUAGAGACAAUGUGAUAAUCAAACCACAUGGCUGGAGAUCGGGGCCUCGAGCUAUCGUAUAUGAGGCCUCGAGGUCGAGUUGGGUGGCCAUCUUAGAGUAGUCAAGAGAGGAAUAACAGUUACGAGAGCUACGAUGAUGGCUCUUUAUGACCAAUGAUAAGUAAUAAAUGAAGAACAAUAGAUAGAACACAAUGAAUAUAAGCAAUAAAUGGUGUAAUGAGAGCAAGAGAAUAUGUUAGAGAGUAGAGAGAAUGUUCUUGUCUAUUCAAUGUUGUGUAUCCGAUGCUCUACAAAAUAAUAAGGAUCCCCUUUAUAUAUGAGGGGGUAUCCCAGCAUAGUACAAAUACAUUUAUUACAAAGAAAAAAGGAUGGUACAACCAUUUAAUGCCAUGGUACGGGUUUGAACUAGCCUAUUAGACUUUGUCAGUUCUAUUUACGCGCCUCGGGAACUCCCCACUCUUUUACCAUAACCAUUGGUCUGUACUACCCCGAGGUCGAGCGUCGAUAUCCCUCGGGGGGUGAAUCUCGAUCAUAGUCUCAAACCUUCAAAACGUGCUUACGAGGCAUCGUAACAAUAGAAAAUUGGACCCUCCGAAUUUACCUCAUACAACAAUAUAUGCAAAAAGAAGGUGUAGAUUAUUUGUAGAUUUAUACGGAUGUUCUUUUUUAAUCAAUUUUGAUUUUCUAUUAUUGUGCUUUUCACUUCUUUAUGCGCCCUGACUAAAAAAAUUUAUCUAUCUGCUGGCAAUUUUAAAAUCAUAUCCGCUUGUGCCGUUGAAAAAAGAACUUUUGGGGCUAUAAUAUAUACAAAAAUCAGGUCUAGAUUCUUUAUAUAUUUAUACAUAAAUGCUUUUGAACUCAAUUAUGAUAUUCUGCUAUUUAUAGCUUUGCAUGCCCUAACUAAAAAUAUUAUAUCUUUUUGCUGCCACGUCGAAAGCAUGAUCCGCUUGUGCCAUUGGAAAGAUUACUUAAUGUAUAUGAAAAUAAGUUCUAGAUUCUUUAUAGAGUUAAAUAUGUAACGACACGUCCGGUCGUUUUGAGAGUAUUAGCCUUGUUUCCCUAUUUACUGCUCAUUUUGUAUUUUAUAGCUGUUAUAUGACUUGCCAAGAUAGUCGGUUCCAAUUCGGAGGGAUUUUAGAAUGAAUUGAGACACUUAGUCUUAAGGUUGGAAAUUUAAGUUAAAAUGUUUGAUUGGAUGUUGACUUAUAUGUAAACAACUCCGAAAUAGAGUUUUGAUGGUUCCUUCAACUUUGUAUUGUGAUUCUGGUCUUAGGAGUGUGUACGAAUUGUGAUUUGGAGGUCCGUAGUUGAAUUAGGCUUGAAACAACAAAAGUUGGAAAUUUGAGGAUUUUUGGAAAGUUUGGCGGGGAGUGGACUUUUUGAUAUCGGGGUUGAAAUUCUGACUCCGGAAGUGGGAGUAGGUCAAAUGUGACUUGUGUGCAAAAUUUGGGGUCAACCAGAUGUGUUUUGAAAGAUUUCGGCGUCACUUGUAGAAGUUGGAAUUUCUUAGUUUCAAUAGGCUUGAAUUGAGGUGCUAUUCAUGUUUGUGAUGUUGUUUGAUGUGAUUUGAGGGCUCGACUAAGUUUGUAUGAUAUUUUUGGAUUUGUUGGUAGGUUUGGUUGAGGUCCUGGGGGCCUCGGGUAGAUUUCAGAUGGUUAAUGGAUUGGAAAUUGGGCUUGGAAGAUGGCUAAAGCUUCAGAUGUUCUGGUGUCUUGUUUCCUUCUACGCAUUCGCGAUGGAGCUCCCGCGUUCGCGUAGAGAAUUUUGAGUGUUGUUGGAUUAUUGCCUUCGCGUUUGCGAAGUAGGUCCCCUGUUCGUGAAGGAUUGAAGUCUUAGGUCUACACGUUUGUGAUAGGGUCUUCGCGUUCGUGUAAAGGAGCAGUUUGUUGGAUCAUCAGGCAUUUAGCCUACGCGAUCGCGUAGUGGUGCACGCAUUCGCAAAUGGUCAGGCGAGGGAAGCUCCACGUUUGCGAGUGGGCCCUCGCGUUUGCAUAGAAGGUUUUUAGGAAGAAGCAUUUUUAUGCUUCACGAAUGCGAGGAAGCUUCCGCAUUCGCAAAGAAGGAAUCACUUGGGUAGAUUAAAAAUCCCAAAAUCGAGGGUUUAUGUCAUUUUUCACCAUUUGGACUUGAGAGCUCGGAAUUAGCCGAUUUUUGGAGAGAUUUUCACGUGGGUGUUUGGGGUAAGUGAUCUUUACCUAGUUUUGGUUAAUUUCCAUGAUUAUGUUAUUAAUUUCAUCACUAAAUUAGUGAUUUGGGGUGAAAAUUGGGAAAAAUUAAGGAAAAGCUCUUAGGCCGAAUUUUGGGGCUUUGAUCGAGAUUGUGGUAUCGGAUUUAAGUAAUUUUGGUAUGGGCUAACUCGUGGUUGAAUGGGUGUUCGGAUUUUGUGACUUUUACCCAAUUUCAAGAUGUGUGCCCAGGUCAACUUUUUGCGGCAAUUUUCUAAUUUCUUGUUAAAGUCUUGAUUUUAUUAAUUAAAUUAGUUUCUUAUAGUUAUAUUUAUAGUAUGAAAUUGCUUCUGACUAGAUUUGGGGCAUUCAGAGUCGGAAAGUUGAGGAAAAAACAUCCUUAUUUACUGAUUGAGCUUGGUUUGAGGUAAGUGACUUGUCUAACCUUGUGUGGGUGAAAUCCCCUUAAGAGUUGGUAUUGUUGUAACAUUUUGUGAUAUGUGAGUGUCGUGUACGCGAGGUGACGGGUGCGUACCAGGCUAAAUAUUGAAAAUCCAGUCUUUGCUAAGUAGUAACCUGUUUAUAUCUUAAAUGAGUUAUUCGAGCAUGUGUAGUUAACAUGUUUACCCUAAUAUCACAUGUCUACGUGUCUAAAUUCUUACUUGAACUCUGUGCAACAAGAUUAGUUGAAAUUCCUGUUUUUCUUGAUUUUGUAUUUAGUCUUUCAGUGUAGGAUUCCUUGCUGUAAAUUUGUUCUUCCAUCGGUUACGAGCUGUGUAUUUACUUUUGGGACUACAAGGUGGUACCUCAGGAGCUCCCCUAUUGCAUAUUUACUUUUGGGACUAUGAGGCGGUACCUCGGGAACUCCCAUGUCACAUAUUUACUUUGGGACUACGAGGCGGUACCUCGAGAGCUCCCCUGUUGAGUAUUUACUUUUGGGACUAUAAGGCGGUACCUCGAAAGCGCCCUGGUUGUUUACCCCUAUGUGUUGUGUUGUUACCUUUCUAUAAUUUCUCAUUGUUAAAUUCUCAGUUUUUUCAUUGUAUUACUAUAUCUACUGCCUUGUUUCAUUUUUAUUCCAGUAGGGCCCUAACCUGGCCUCGUCAUUACUAUAGGUACCGUUGCGGUGUACUCAUACUACUUUUCUGCACAUGUUUUGUGUGCAGACCCAGGUAACUCCUACCAGCCGCGAUAUCAGUGAGCACGUGGGGAAAUCAAGGUAUAUUUUCGAGUGUCCGCAGACCUCGGAGUCCCCCACUACCUUUACUAUGUUGUCUUUUUCUUAUUCCUCUUAGAUGCUGAUGUAUAGAGACAAUUAGUACAUUCCUUAGAGCUUGUGGCUUGUGACUACCAGGUUUUGGGAGUUCUUUAUACUUGGAGUUGUUGGUUUAUCUUGUCAUGUCGAGCGACAGUUUUCAGUAUCAUAUAUAUCUAUCGAAGUUAGUCAUUAUUUCAGUUAUUAUUUUCAGUUAUUCUGCAAUAGUUAGGCUCACCUAAUCACAGAGUCUAGGUGCCGCCACGACAUCCUACGGAGGGAAAUUGGGUCGUGACAAGUUAGUAUCAGAGCUCUAGGUUCAUAGGUGUUAUGAGUCACAAGUAGGUUUAGUAUAGUCUCGUUGAUCGGUACAGAGACCUCUAUACUUAUCAUUAGGAAGCUAUGGAACUGUUAGGAAAACUUCACUUCUUUGAUUCCUUGUCUUGCGAACUUGUUGACUUCGGGAUUCUAAACUUCUGUCUUUCUAUUCUCUCACAAAUGAUGAGGACACGCACAAUCGGAUCAGAUGACUAGACAUUUGCGCCCCUACUAGAGCCGCGAGAGGCAGAGGCUUGGGUAGAGGCUGAAGACGUCCACGUGGUACAGCCAGAGCGCCUGCACGAGCUGCUACAGAGGAGCCACCAGUAGCUCCAGUCGGAGCGUAGGCACUUGAGACAUCUGUUACUGCACCAGCUCUUCAGGAGACCCUUACCUAGUUUCUAAGCAUGUUCCGCACUUUAGCUCAGGUAGGGUUUAUCCCGCUUGCUCCUGCCACGUCUCAGGUCGGGGGAGGAGCACAAACUCCCGCUGCUUGUACCCCAGAGCAGCAGGUUCAGGUCGACCAAGUUCCAGAGGUCAUACUAGUACCGCCGGUAGCCCUAGUUCAGCCCGAGGGUAGGGCAACAAUUUCUAAGGAGAAAGAGCACAGGAUCGAGAGGUACAAAAAGCACCACCCUCCUACUUUCUUUAGCUUGGCAUUAGAGAAGGCCUAGGGUUUUCUUGAGGAGUGACACCGCACCCUCCGUACUAUGGGUGUUGCGGAGUAGAGUGGGAUUUCUUUCACUAUGUUCCAGCUUAGAGGAGCAACCUAUCAAUGGUGGCGUGCAUAUGAGUUGGGUAGUCCGGCCGAGGCAACUUCUCUCACUUUGACUCAGUUCUCGAAUAUGUUCUUGAGGGAGUAUGUUCUCUAGAGACUCAGAGAUACAUGACGCGCAGAGUUUGAGCAGUUGCGCUAGGGUUCUAUGACUGUGUCAGAGUAUGCGGUCAGGUUUAGUGAUUUGGUUAGGCAUGCACCAGCCUUAUUUUCUACAGUUCGAGAGUGGGUCCGUCGAUUUAUUGAGGGGUUCAAUCCCAAUAUCAGAUUUAGCAUGGCCCGAGAGUUGGAGAUGGACAUCACAUACCACCAGGUAGUGGGGAUUGCUAGGAGAUUAGAGGGUAUGUUGAUUCGGGAGAGAGAGGAGAGAAAUGCCAAGAGCUCUCGAGAGUCUGGCACUUAUAGUGGUACUCGUGCCUGUCACACCUCUUUUUUACCUACAACCCCGGAAAGGUAUAAGGGAGUUUUUCCAAUUUAAGUGACAAUCGAAACGGGAUUAUUUUAUUUUAAAAAAAUUCAGAGUCGCCACUUGGGAUAAUUUUAUGGUGUCCCAAGUCACCGGUUUAAAUUCCGAAUCGAGGAAAAGAUUGACUCUGUAUUACAGUCCGCGAACACAAAAAUUUGGGUAAGGAAUUCUAUUAAUCCGGGAGAAGGUGUUAGGCAUUCCCGGAUUCUAUGGUUCUAGCACGGUCGCUCAACUGUUAUAAUCGGCCUAUUUACUUGAUUUUAGUACAUUUUUUAGCCUAUGGUGCAAUUUUAACUUUAUAACCGCUUUUAUUUAAUUAUUUUUUUAGGAAGAUUUCAACGUUAUUUAAAACACAUCUUGAACCACGUCACAUAAAUCUACCCGCGGUCCCCGACAUAUUUUAUCUAACAUUGUUGAGAGUUGUAUUUGGGUCACAUAAAUGCACACCCAAGUUUAUGUAUCAUGACCAUGUCACGGGAACCGUACCCAUAGUCACGAUAUUUAUUAUUAAACGCGCCUAAAGCAAGCUACAGUGUAUUCAUUUCCUAAAAUUUGGGGUUAUAAAGGGUCAAAAGCUGCGAAAUUAUUGGGUGUCUUCUAUAUUCAAAAUCAUUACUGACUCAUAUCAUACUAAGAAACAAAAUCAAAAUAACAAACAUUUUAUACAAAAUCAUUUCGAGACAUGUCAGUAACCUAAGUAAAAAUUAUUUUGUAUCCAAACUUCAAGAGUAAAUGAUCCAUGAAGCCAUAUGAAUUGCAAACUUAGCAGAAACCAACUUACUUUAACUGAUAAGGAGAGUGCCAAAUCAACAGCUCCUCUCAAACCAAAGCAUAUGACGAUGGAUGCUUUCUUUCUCAAAAACUUUCCAAUUAUAUUGAUAAGGGAACUUUGUACAACAAAUCGUCUACGAAGUGAAUGGAAUGCGAAACCAACGCCGUCGACCUCGAAUGGAACCUCGACAAAGAACCAAUGGAAAUAGUCAUCGAAACUCAACCAAAGAACUCGAGACUCGCCGGAAAAAGGUUGUUAAACACUUUGGGGCGCCUUACUGUUUCAGCCCCCGUUUUUGUUCGCUGCUUUUGCGCCUCUAUUGCUUCAGUGUGUGACUAUGUGUGUGUUUAGUGCUACUGAUAUGAGGUCGAUGGAGUUCUUUGUUGAUGACUUCGACUACUUAAAAGGAUGUUCAAGAGUGAAGAAGUAGAAGUUCAGGGGGUGUUUUGAGGUUGAAGAUGGUUUGUUCUUUGAAGAGGAUGGUCUGUUAUGGUGGUUAUGGAUGGACUCCGGCGAGUUGGGUUGAGUCCGGCAACUUGGGGCAUAGUGUGUGAAGGAGACGAAGAAGGGGAGGGGGGGUGUUGAGGAAGACGACCAAAGGGGGGGUCUAUGUGAAUUGCGGUGCUGCUUUUCU